UACGUAGGCAGCGAGCGUUGUUCGGAAUUACUGGGCGUAAAGAGUGUGUAGGCGGUGCUCCAAGUCUGUUGUGAAAUCUCCCGGCUUAACUGGGAGGGUGCAGCGGAAACUAGAGUGCUAGAGGGUGGGAGAGGUAAGCGGAAUUCCUGGUGUAGCGGUGAAAUGCGUAGAUAUCAGGAGGAACACCGGUGGCGAAGGCGGUUCUCUGGGCCUUACCUGACGCUGAGGAGCGAAAGCGUGGGGAGCGAACAGG
This 253-nucleotide ribosomal RNA is filed under the name uncultured bacterium. RNAcentral's name for it is "partial 16S ribosomal RNA". It matches the Rfam family "Bacterial small subunit ribosomal RNA", at positions 524 to 776 of the family's 1533-position model. The record is from RNAcentral.